This 253-nucleotide ribosomal RNA is filed under the name uncultured bacterium. RNAcentral describes it as "partial 16S ribosomal RNA". It matches the Rfam family "Bacterial small subunit ribosomal RNA", at positions 524 to 776 of the family's 1533-position model. The record is from RNAcentral.
UACAGAGGGUGCGAGCGUUAAUCGGAAUUACUGGGCGUAAAGCGCACGUAGGUGGCGACGUAAGUCGGGUGUGAAAGCCCCGGGCUCAACCUGGGAAUUGCAUUCGAGACUGCAUUGCUGGAGUGCGGAAGAGGAAGGCGGAAUUCCCGGUGUAGCGGUGAAAUGCGUAGAUAUCUGGAGGAACAUCGGUGGCGAAGGCGGCAUCCUGGACCGAUACUGACGCUGAGGCGCGAAAGCCAGGGGAGCAAACGGG